RNAcentral lists this ribosomal RNA (440 nucleotides) under uncultured bacterium. RNAcentral's name for it is "partial 16S ribosomal RNA". It matches the Rfam family "Bacterial small subunit ribosomal RNA", at positions 338 to 795 of the family's 1533-position model. The record is from RNAcentral.
CCUACGGGAGGCAGCAGUGGGGAAUAUUGCACAAUGGGGGAAACCCUGAUGCAGCGACGCCGCGUGAAGGAAGAAGUAUUUCGGUAUGUAAACUUCUAUCAGCAGGGAAGAAAAUGACGGUACCUGACUAAGAAGCCCCGGCUAACUACGUGCCAGCAGCCGCGGUAAUACGUAGGGGGCAAGCGUUAUCCGGAUUUACUGGGUGUAAAGGGAGCGUAGGCGGUUUAGCAAGUCAGAAGUGAAAGCCCGGGGCUCAACUCCGGGACUGCUUUUGAAACUGUUGAACUAGAUUGCAGGAGAGGUAAGUGGAAUUCCUAGUGUAGCGGUGAAAUGCGUAGAUAUUAGGAGGAACACCAGUGGCGAAGGCGGCUUGCUGGACUGUAAAUGACGCUGAGGCUCGAAAGCGUGGGGAGCAAACAGGAUUAGAUACCCCUGUAGUC